UGGCUCAGAUGGUAAAGCGUCUGCCUACAAUGCAGGAGACCUGGGUUCGAUCCCUG
This is a non-coding RNA of Ovis aries (sheep), 56 nucleotides long. NCBI's taxonomy places the organism in Eukaryota, Metazoa, Chordata, Mammalia, Artiodactyla, Bovidae. The record is from Rfam.